Long non-coding RNA from Bufo gargarizans (Asiatic toad), 426 nucleotides. RefSeq lists it as uncharacterized. Lineage: Eukaryota; Metazoa; Chordata; Amphibia; Anura; Bufonidae. The transcript has 3 exons. The record is from RefSeq and is a predicted model, not a curated record.
GGAGAUGUCCCUGGAUGUAAGAGUCAUCGUCUGUAGAGGAGUUGCAUCCCAGCCAAGAAGGAAUUGCAGAGGAGGAAAGUGGGGGUAGAGGACAGCAAAUGCCAUCUAGUCCCGUUGACUCUCAGAGAGGUCCUCAAGUCUCCGCCAGAGGAAGUCAGGGAGCACGCAAUCAAAGUCUUUUAAAUUUAAAAACUUUCAAACUGUAUUUUAAGUAGUUUUUUUUUGUUUGUUUGUUUUUUAGGGUUCCAGAGUCUCCACCAGAAUGGAUGGAAGAGGAGGUCGGACUUUUUAUAGAUAACCUCCUCAUCCAGAUGUUAGAGGCACGUCCAGCAUUGUGGGACCACACCAACCGCCGCCACGCAGACCAUCAAUCAACCCGGCUCCUCUGGCACGAAAUCGGUGAGGCAAUUGUGCCAAAUUGGGAGG